GGUGGCUCAGUGGUAGUGUGCUUGCCUUACAUGCAGGAGGCCCUGGGUUCGAUUCCUCAGCACCA
RNAcentral lists this transfer RNA (65 nucleotides) under Dipodomys ordii (Ord's kangaroo rat). It matches the Rfam family "tRNA". From Rfam's summary of the family: Transfer RNA (tRNA) molecules are approximately 80 nucleotides in length. Their secondary structure includes four short double-helical elements and three loops (D, anti-codon, and T loops). Lineage: Eukaryota; Metazoa; Chordata; Mammalia; Rodentia; Heteromyidae. The record is from Rfam by way of RNAcentral.